Molecule: ribosomal RNA, 270 nt
Filed under: uncultured archaeon
Lineage: Archaea
Description: partial 16S ribosomal RNA
Rfam family: Archaeal small subunit ribosomal RNA
Source: RNAcentral
UGCUGGAAUGCAUCGAGAUUUAAAAGCUCCGGCGCCUAAGGAUGGGUCUGYGGCCUAUCAGGUAGUAGUGGGUGKAGCGUACCUMCUAGCCUACGACGGGUACGGGUUGUGAGAGCAAGAGCCCGGAGAUGGAUUCUGAGACACGAAUCCAGGCCCUACGGGGUGCAGCAGGCGCGAAAACUUUACAAUGCUGGCAACAGCGAUAAGGGAACCUCGAGUGCCAGGUUACAAAUCUGGCUGUCGAGANGCCUAAAAAGCAUUNCAUAGCAA